AACGCACAUUGCGCCCUUUGGUAUUCCGAAGGGCAUGCCUGUUCGAGCGUCAUUAAACUCUCACGCAUCAGCUUGGUGUUGGGAAAUGUCCCCUUAAUAAAGGACCUUCCCGUAACCUCUUUGGUGGUACCUUAACCUGGCUUCAAGCGUAGCAGAAAAACCUCGCUUGGUUGUCGUUUAGGACCUGCCAGUUUAAUUUCCGUAAAAAGUUUGACCUCGGAUCAGGUAGGGAUACCCGCUGAACUUAU
This 248-nucleotide unclassified non-coding RNA is filed under the name uncultured fungus. RNAcentral's name for it is "partial contains 5.8S ribosomal RNA, internal transcribed spacer 2, and large subunit ribosomal RNA". The stretch from base 1 to 52 matches the Rfam family "5.8S ribosomal RNA", at positions 103 to 154 of the family's 154-position model. Lineage: Eukaryota; Fungi. The record is from RNAcentral.